CGUUCGAGGGCCGAGUGGUUAAGGCGAUGGACUGCUAAUCCAUUGGGCUCCCCACCAUGCGGGUUCAAAAUCCCAUCCCUUGUCGA
Non-coding RNA from Trichonephila inaurata madagascariensis, 86 nucleotides. The record is from the annotation of a GenBank genome assembly. NCBI's taxonomy places the organism in Eukaryota, Metazoa, Arthropoda, Arachnida, Araneae, Nephilidae.